CUGCCUGCUUCCUUCUUUCUUGCAAUUUUUUUUUUUUGUCAACAUUUAAAUGAUUUACAGUAUUUAAAAUAAUAGUCAUAAAAUUAGACUUUACAAACUGUAAUUAUUUUCAUUCAUGAAUCUACUUAUGAUUUUCGAGCCCUGUACAGUAUGAAGAGUUAUUUUGAGCUUGAUUUAACGAGUCCACAAUUUGAAGUGGUUUAAUGCCGAUUUCCCGUAAUAGCUCUGGCACCCAUCCCUAACAGCCUCAGCAACAGAAGUGAGGGGGCGGUAUCUAUGUUUAGCCUUCAGUGUGUGAAGUAUCCGAGAGCCUGUUUCGUUAUAUUGACAGGUAAGAAACAUCAUUGAUGAAGACAAUCCUGCCAGCAACAUAAAAUGCUCGCAAUAUUAUUGAUAUUUCUCCACUACUCUGUUCUAACAAGCAUGCUAUGUACAUCAGCUGACUUUUGUUUUCAUCACAUGACCAGAGAAGUAUUCAUAAAUCUUCAGCCAAUCAGGGGAUGGGUUAUGUUCACUGACCCAGUUGUUGCCAGGCAUUGUUGCUAUUAAUAGCCAGAUAGAGUUCCUGGCUUGUAUGUCAUGUGAUCAGAGUUAUUUCAGGUCAUUCAGGGUUGAAGGUGAUUAUGCACUGCAAAAUGAGGCCACCUACAGGUGAUCUGCUAAUGUCAGGCAGGUAAAUACACUAAGAUAUGUAUUUACUUGUAAUCUCUUAAAUAGCCGAUUACACAACAGAAAUGGUCCGUUUUGUUUAUUCAGAUCUACGUCUUGUCUAUUGAUAAAAGGCUACAGAACAGUGCAAGUUUUGACUUGCUGUUUCACAGAGCUCAUUCAUAAAAAUUGGAUUGAAUGGUAGAGGAAUUAGGUUCAAAGUGCGCUUUCAUAUUUUCACGGGUUCUAACAAGUACAAAUGACACAAUCAUUUCCACAGCACACUUCCUUAUCUAUGAGAAUGGUGCUUCCACAAUUCCAUAUAAGGAAGAUGUCGGAAACAAGGAAAAAUUAACUUUGAGAAAAGCAACAUCAAUGAAUUUUGUGUUAUUUCAAUGGCAUGCUGAACACUCUAUAGAUUAUAUUGAUCAAUAGAUUUUACUUUGCUUCAAAAUAGGCCUAUCUGCUGAUAACAUAUGUCAUCUUUGAGUUUCUUUGAUGAGGGCCUCCACUUCAUGUACAUGAUGCAACCUUUUUUUCCUAUCAAAAAUCACGGGAAAACUUUUUAUUUAUUUAACUUUAUAUAAAAAAAAAAUUAAUGUAAAGUUUCUUUUUAUUCAGGUUUUCCCGAUAGUAUAUUUACGUGCAUGUACUGUACAUAUUAUUUUUUAAAAAAUUAAAAUGUGUAGAUUUAAGAGACAAAAAAAAAAAAUUUGAUCUCUUUUUUUUAAAUUACAAUCAUUUAUGUUGUAAAAGUUCAGGAAUUUGAUAUUUGGAUCAUAUAUUG
Long non-coding RNA from Saccostrea cuccullata (small rock oyster), 1435 nucleotides. RefSeq lists it as uncharacterized. Lineage: Eukaryota; Metazoa; Mollusca; Bivalvia; Ostreida; Ostreidae. The record is from RefSeq and is a predicted model, not a curated record. The transcript is spliced from 3 exons.